GAAUAUUGGACAAUGGGCGAAAGCAUGCUCCAGCCAUGCCGCGUGUGUGAAGAAGGUCUUCGGAUUGUAAAGCACUUUAAGUUGGGAGGAAGGGCAGUAAGCGAAUACCUUGCUGGUUUGACGUUACCGACAGAAUAAGCACCGGCGAACCAUGUGCCAGCAGACGCGGGAAUACAGAGGGUGCAAGCGUUAAUCGGAAUUUCUGGGGGUAAAGCGCGGGUAGGUCGUGCGUUAAGUUGGAUGUGAAAUCCCCGGGCUCAACCUGGGAACUGCAUCCAAAACUGGCGAGCUAGAGUAGGGCAGAGGGUGGUGGAAUUUCCUGUGUAGCGGUGAAAUGCGUAGAUAUAGGAAGGAACACCAGUGGCGAAGGCGACCACCUGGGCUCAUACUGACACUGAGGUGCGAAAGCGUGGGGAGCAAACA
RNAcentral lists this ribosomal RNA (423 nucleotides) under uncultured bacterium. RNAcentral describes it as "partial 16S ribosomal RNA". It matches the Rfam family "Bacterial small subunit ribosomal RNA", at positions 359 to 774 of the family's 1533-position model. The record is from RNAcentral.